AUUUAGUUUCAUCAUUAUAUUACGGAUGCUGAGAUGAGAGUGAAAUCACCAGAAAGUAGGUGAUAUAGAGAGUAUUAGUAAGAUAGUUACUGAAAGAGAAUAAUGCUGCUCAGAAGCAUCACUUCUUGCCUCCCAUCUUCAGCAACCAUAGACAACCUGUUCUCAGUUGCCAGGGCAGGCAGCUUGGUUCCUGAUAUCUCUCUGGAUGACACACUGCAAAGCUUCCUAUCCCUGGACUCAAGUGCUGCUCUCGAACAACAUUAUGCAGACAUUCAGCAACACUUGUCUGCUGAACAACUCACUGUUUUCAACCAGGACCUGACGUCUUUAUUGGGAGGGAACACAAAUGUGGCCUUGGGGGGUGUGGGUGUUGUGGCACUAGCCCUGUCUCUACUCUUUGAUGUCUUAGCCCACAAGGCAAAAAGGCAUGGGGACAGCAAGAAUACUAUGGACCCUACCAAAAUGAUAUUUGGAAUCAGCAAUUCCUCAAGAAUUGGGUCCCUCAUCAGUGAAUACCUGAAGCUGGUCCCUGAGAUAGCCAAUGACAUGAACAAGAUGGCAGAGGUGACAGAGCUCUAUGACCAGUACCUGAAGUAUGAGCUGAUUGACCAUUUUGAGAGGAUGACGAACAAGAAACGCAUGGGGUCAGUGGCCAUGAAACAGUGGCUGUGUGGGGCCUCUUUCCACCUGCACAUGAGGAUCCAUGAGAUCCGAUUGGGCUCCGUUCCACGAGGCUCAGCAGAAGCACUGCGUCUCUCCUACAAGACUGCGUUCACAAGCCUGGUCAAGCUCUAUACAGCCCACCUACGCAAAAAUAUCCAGGAGAUACCACCAGAGCCAGGAGCCAACAGCAUGCCAGGGCUCCUGGUCGUUGAGCCCCACAAGAACGUCACACACAGAGUUCAACACAGUCCCUGUGAGUCCAAGGUCAUUGAAGAAUUUCUGCUGGCCCGGAUCAUUGCUGCUCAGGACAUUGAGCAGAGUAAAUACUUCUUUCUGCAUACUGAAAGUGACUUUGAUGAUCUGUUCAAGCAACGGGGAGAUUUUGAGCUGAAGAAAUGAAUGAAUAAAAUCGUAUUUAUCUGCAUAAUGCACAGUGGUAGAAAUAAUGAUUUUUACUCUUAUAGUUGGCUUAUUACCUGUAAUUAAUGUCUACUCAUGUUACAAACACAAAAAAUAUUUGAUUACCACAUAAUAAAGUAACAAAAAUUGAGACAAACCAGCAUUCAUAAUGUUCUAUAGUGUGGGACUUCAGCACACAUAACCCCCCCCCAGGGUCAAAAGGUCUCUUAUUAUAACUGCUGUGCCGGGCAAUAACAAGACUAGCGAAUACACUGAGUUUCUCACUGAGUCAAGGCGUGUAGUGUACUAUGUACUAUGUGCUUUUUUAUUAAAUUUUUAUUUAACAUUAAUUGAACUAGGCAAGUCAGUUAAGAACCAAUUCUUAUUUUACCGUGACGGCCUACCCUGGCCUAACCCUAACCCGGAUGACGCGGGGCCAAUUGUAUGCCGCCCUAUGUGCGCCAUACAGUGGGUUCCUAUUUAAAGGGGGUCCUGUGUAAAAAGGGGCUGUUGUGUGAGGAUAUUGUUGUGAUUGGAUAUUGGAGGGUUCUGAAGAGGAAGGGUAUUAGGAGAGGACCUCUGACAGGUUCAUUGAUAAGGUUGUAGAGUUUUAUAACUGUGGUAUAGUAUUAAUGCGCUGACCAAUCUCAUGCAUCUGUUUCAUACAUGGCUUCUGUUCCUGUGUCUUCUGUACCACUGGUUAGCUACCUUGAGCUGAUAGCACAUAUCAAUUGUGUGUGUGUGUGUGUGUGUGUGUGUGUGUGUGUGUGUGUGUGUGUGUGUGUGUGUGUGUGUGUGUGUGUGUGUGUGUGUGCGCGCAGGGUUGCGGUACGUGUGUGUGCGCAGAGGGUUGCGGUACGUGCAUGUGCGUGUGUCUGUGUAGGUGGUGCAUCACUGUGCGUUUAUGUGCAGCUGUGUGUAGGAUUGGGCGCAGAAAUGUUUUUCAACACUAUCUGGUUGCUAUCAACUAAAGGUCAGCCAGCUCCACAGAGUCUGCACAGGGCUGUAGUUGAAAGUAGAGCAGGUGAGCGGAGCUGCUGUAUUGAUAAGAGAGGAUCAGGCUCCGUCAGCAGGCCCUGUGUACAUCAGUGUCCCUGGGAGGGGAGGAGGUGCAGGGAGUAUGCCACUUGUUGAAGCAGGACCCUCGUAAUGGGGAGGCAGGGCGUAGG
Oncorhynchus tshawytscha (Chinook salmon) is the source of this 2231-nucleotide long non-coding RNA. NCBI's taxonomy places the organism in Eukaryota, Metazoa, Chordata, Actinopteri, Salmoniformes, Salmonidae. The record is from Ensembl.